RNAcentral lists this transfer RNA (85 nucleotides) under Felis catus (domestic cat). It matches the Rfam family "tRNA". Rfam says of the family: Transfer RNA (tRNA) molecules are approximately 80 nucleotides in length. Their secondary structure includes four short double-helical elements and three loops (D, anti-codon, and T loops). The record is from Rfam by way of RNAcentral. Lineage: Eukaryota; Metazoa; Chordata; Mammalia; Carnivora; Felidae.
GCCUGGGUGGCUCAGUUGGUUGGGCGUCUGACUUCGGCUCAGGUCACGAUCUCGCGGUCCGUGAGUUCGAGCCCCACGUCGGGCU